CGUAGGUGAACCUGCGGAAGGAUCAUUAUUGAACAAAGGCUGUGAGCAUGUGCACACCUUUUGCUGCUUCGUUUCAUUCACUUUGGUGUCCAUUCAACGAUCUGAAGCGUUCCGUCCAUCAUUGACUUGGUGGCAUGGCGUUGUGGAUUUCUGGUUGAUGGAGCAAGGCAGUGGACCUGUUUUUUCGGAAGUCUGGGAAGCUGCUCACCAGAACGACAGAGGGUCGUCAUAUUCCUGUACCUGCCGUACCCCAUCCUGCAAUUAAUGUAGGCUGUGCCACUAUGUGGCUCUGACGGUCUGGUCAAACCAUGAUGAAUACAUUUGGCAAAGGUUGUUGCUGGCUCAUUUUGUCCAUUUAUCCUCCUGUGCACAUUUUGUAGAUGCCUGGGAAUGAGAGGUUACUGGCCUCUUGGCUCAGUCUGGGCAUCUAUGCAUUUUCUUACACAUACACGAUUGCAUGUCUUAUAGAAUGAAAGGUAGGGACUUUAAAUGGCCUCUAAAUAUAAAAUACAACUUUCAACAACGGAUCUCUUGGCUCUCGCAUCGAUGAAGAACGCAGCGAAAUGCGAUAAGUAAUGUGAAUUGCAGAAUUCAGUGAAUCAUCGAAUCUUUGAACGCAUCUUGCGCUCCUUGGUAUUCCGAGGAGCAUGCCUGUUUGAGUGUCAUUAAGUAACUCAAAAGUUUCUUAUGCCUGUUGGCUGAGGGACUUUUUGGACUUGGGAGCUGCCGGCUGCUAUCGUGGUGGGCUCUUCUGAAAAGCAUUAGUUGAGGAGCUUUGCAACUCUGUAUUGGUGUGAUAGACUAUCUAUGCCAGGAGAUGCUUCAUGAUACCUCUGCUGUCUAACCGUCCUGAAAGGGACAAGAUGACCAACUUGACCUCAAAUCAGGUAGGACUACCC
RNAcentral lists this ribosomal RNA (899 nucleotides) under uncultured fungus. Its description in RNAcentral is "eukaryotic LSU rRNA". The stretch from base 512 to 665 matches the Rfam family "5.8S ribosomal RNA". Lineage: Eukaryota; Fungi. The record is from RNAcentral.